AGUUGCUGAGGAAGAGCAGCACAGCAAAGCCCAGCGUGGAGGUGGCCAGCAGGAUGAGGCAGGCAUUGCAGGGGACCAUGAAGUACCGCACCAGCAGGGAGACACCGGGCUGCAGCCCGGGACGGCGCUCCAGUGGCAGGGGUGGCAUGGCUCCGCUCCGCCCGCUCUGCUGUGCGCUGGGUUCUCAUGGAGCACCCUUAGGCCUCUCAGGGGCUGCUCCACCCAUCCUGGGGCCCCAGAGGGGCACACAGCAGCACCACUCUCAAACUUCCGCCCCAGCCCCAGCGUGGGGGGCUCCAGGCCCCUUCCAGCCCUCCAGACGCAUCCGAGGAGGUGCUCAGAAUUGUCCGCGAGUAGAAAUCCCCAAGGAUUUUCAAGCUCGGAGACAGCCGGAGGACCGGCCCACCCCUGCCAGCCGCCACCAGCCGGCUCUGUCCUCCGUCCCCGGACAGAGCUCAGCACGCUGGAGCAGCAACGACAAGAGCCCGACGAGAGCCGGGCGCAGGGCCUGGCCGCGCGCGCCUGGCAAGCGCGAGCGCGGUGGAGCGCGGGAGGCGCGGCGCGCAGAGAAGAAAGAGCAGCGGCGGUGGAACCCCCGCCCCGCAGCGGCUCUCUCGCCCUUCCAGGCCUGCGAGGAGAGAAAACAAGCAGAGAGGCGCGAGCAAAUAAGCCGUAUGCAAAUAUCCGCCGGAACUCCCCGCGAGUCCUGGGGCUGGCGCGCCCCCCGGAGGCCACCUGGGAACUCAGCCCGGAUCCCGCUCCGUGCAACCUUGGCGAUUCUGUUCCACCUCCACUGUCCCCAGUCACGACCUCCGAGGCCGGCCGGGGUCACCCCCGUGGUUAUCUCUACAUCCAACAUCUCCAGCCCCCCACCCCGUACUGAUGACUGACCCUAGGGCUUUCACACUGACCUACCUCCUCAAAUCCCCAACCCAUCUAAUUUGAGACAGGGUCUAGCUAAAUCACUAAGCUGCACAGGCUGGCCUGGACCUUGCGAUCCUCCUGCCUCAGCCUCUCAGAGUGCUGGGAUUACAGGAUUGUGCCACCACCACACCUCCCACGGGCCUGCUCACACCCUACUCCGUGCCUCUCCUACCCAGGAACGGCAUGUCUGCCCUCCGCACGGGUUCUCUCCUCUAGGGGCAGCCAAACCCUUCCGGGACUCCUCCCGACAGCAGUCCUUACCCCAGCUGAAGUCAAGCUCACAGCCCCCACAGCAGGUACAUUCAUUCCACAGUCACUCUCUGGCCUCCUCCCAGUCUGUGUUCUUGUUUUUUUUUUUUGUUUUUUUUUUUUGGUAUCGGGGAUCAAACUCAGGACCUUGUGCUUGCCCGGCAGGUGCAGUGCCACUGAGCUAUGUCCCUGGCCCUUCUCAGUCCGUUUUGGGAAGGAAGCACUGGCCACAUCCCUGACCCAUAAUCACUAGCUAAGUCUGUGGGGCUCCAGGACUCUACGCAUUGGCCACAGGUACCCUCCGUGGCCACCAGCUGGCCCUCCCAAGGUUCCGCUGUCCCACCUCACCCAGGCAACUCCUCCAGCUCACCUGCCCCUAAACCUCACCAGUCCCACCUCAGCCAGGAAAGCCGGGCAAGGUGUGCUACUCCCACACGGGAGUCGGCCCUGUCCCACCACAGGCCAAGGGCAGAAAUCCCCAAGGCGGGCUCACAUUACUGGGUUAGGGGUCUUCCCCUCUCUUGUGGCCCCCAAACCCACUGUUGGUACACUUUUUUUUUGGUACCGGGGAUUGAACUCGGGUCCUUGAGCUUGUGCAGCAGGUGGCGAAACCACUGAGCUAAAUCCCCGGCCCCUAAAACCCACUGUUUUAGUGAAACCUUGCAGGAAAAUCCAAACCGAUUUUGAGCCCCCCACUAGCCACUUGGAGACCUCAACCCAGGCUGGCCUCACCCUCUCAGGGAGCCCCUGUCCCCCAACCAACCCCAGUGGACCUUGGCACUGCCUGCAGCACAUUGAUAGAGUCCUGGCAUGUGGUACCCAGGGCAGGGUCUGAGUUUUUAUCUCUCAGGGCGGAGGUCAGCCUAGAGUGGAGAAAGGAAGGACCUGGUAUGUGAAGCCCAGCACAGCACAAGCACAUUUUUCCAUCUGUCUCCGACUGCCGGAUAAAGUGCCAGGGACCAGGCCCAGGCAAUGCCCAGCAGCCCACACACCCACACAAUGCUAUGUACUGCUGCCACAUGCAGCCCUGGGCGUCCUGGGUGAGCUCCAUAGGAGUCCAGGAAACAGUGUGGGAGAGCUGAGUUUGAGUGGCAGUGGGAGCCCUUGGGAAAGGCUGAUGGGCAGAGAAGGCAUGGGGGGGUACUGGACGCUGCCUGGGAUAUUUGGCCCCCUAAGCAGAGACUCUGAGAUCUGCCACUGAAGGGGUCCCAACAGAGCCUUCUGGAUGUUCACAUGUGGGUGUGAGCCUGGCCCAGACUAACACUGGAAAUGGGCUCUGGGCAGGGUGGGGGGUAACCAGACAGGCAGCCUGACCCUAGCAGGCCUCUGCUGUGGCGGGAUGCCUUCCACAGACAAAGAGCCAUUGAAGCCCUGGCCCAGUGGGGAGGGGAGCUCAGGCUACUGCAGCUAUUUUAGGAUCUUCAGGCAGAAUCAUUCGGCCUUGACCAGCCCACGCAUGCUUAUGCCCCAGAACGAACGGGAUACUCCAGGCCAGGAGCCAGCCCCUUGGACUCAGGGCUCACACCCCAGCAACAUGCGAUGGCUAACUGCCAUACACUGGGCAUCCCAGCUCUAAGUGUGCACAUAGGCACACUUGCUGAAUGUCUAUGCCACUGGGUGUCACACGCACCCUAACCCAAUCCCACCUCCAGGCGCACAGCGAGGUGUGUGUGACCCCAUCCAUCCCUCAGUGUGAACAUCCGGCUGUGCGCGGGAACCUGGGGGUGGGCCCGGAGGGAAGGGAGAGUCUAGCCCACUGGAGGCCAGUCCCUCAUUCACAUGUAGAUUACUCCUCCCUCCACUCGCUCUCUAGAAAGGAGGGUGUGGUGAUGAUGUGUAGGCACCGCCCUCCAAGGCAGGGGCCUUGCCCGACCAUCACUUGCAGACAGGCAGUGACAUCUGACCUGUGGUGACCCCUCUGUCCACAGAGAUCUUGGGGUGUGCUGCUCAGCAGGGAAAGGUGCUGCCCUGGCAUCAAGCAAGCACGCACAAGGCCCUGUCCUGGCCCAGUGCGCAGGUGUGCAGCUGCCCCUGUGGAGACGUGACAGUGGCCUCCAUCCUAUGGCCUCUUGGGGUUGGGCCUCAGCCUGUACCCUCCCCUCCCCUUCAGUCUUGGCAGACAAUGAGCGUUUCAGGACAGGACGUCACUGCUGGGUGGCAGCCAGCCACUGGGAAAGAGGCCACACUGGGUGGCUCACUAACCAGUCUCAGCUGUGGGGCCUCAGAUCACCCUCCUGCCUCAGGUGGAGCCUGAGGUGCUUAGGUCAGACCUGUACCCACCAACAACCUGGCCCCUGUCUAUGACAGCCUGCCAUUAAAUGGAAAUCUGGGGCAGGGGCACAGCAGGGCUGACUGAGCCUUCCAACGCAGACUCCUCUUCAUCACCAACCAGCCUGUCUGCACCUCCCUGGGCAGGGCUCAGUGUCCCCAGUAGGCCCUGGGAAGGAUACACUGUGGCAUUUCAAAUGAAGUCCAGCCAGGUUGGCAGGAGGCAGGUGGUGUGGCCUCCUGAGGUGACACUGGCAUACAGACCAGUGAGGAUGGGGGCUUGCACAGAUCAGGAGGCAACUACCAAAACCAAGCUGGGAACAAGCUCAGAAAGCUUCCAGUAAGCAGCAGGCCAGCACAGAGAUCUGGGGGGAAUGGAACAAGAGGGCCACAGCCUGCAGCGCAGAUUCUCAGGCGUUAGGGUCUGCAGCCCCACCUUGGCCUGGCCAUCUGCCAUGACCACCAGGGGGUGCAGGGAUAGCAGCAUGGAGCCACCCAUACCCUCUGUCCCUGCCCUCUCGGCUCAGCCAGGAGAACCCAUCUCCAGGAAAAAAGGCAAUGCUGGUGGAGCCAGGGCAGUGCCAGGUUAUGUCAAUGCCUGGUGAAUCAGGACAGCCCAGUGUCCCUGCUGAGAGUCCAGCUAUGCUGGGCAAAGGGAGCACCAGACAUGGGAGAGGGAUGGCCACAACACAGCCCCCCAGCAUCAAAAGGCUGAGCUAGGGCCGGGGAUUUAGCCCAGUGGUUUCGCCGCCUGCUGCGCAAGUGCAAGGACCCGAGUUCGAUCCCUGGUACCAAAAAAAAGCGCUGAGCUCUAGGGGGCGCUUUAUAGAGGUGCUGGCCAGGUAAGUGCCAGGAUGAACAGGAAGGGCAGAGAGGAAAGAAGGACCAGAGGUGCAAGAAAGAAGGGCGGAGGCAAAGCCUCAGGGGAGUCAGGAUGCUGGGGAGCUGGGCUCAAAGGAGACCCAGGGGCUCCCUCCCAUGCCCACAGCACCUGGGAAGCCUCCUGAGUCCAGCAGGGCUCUCUAGUUGAGGUGGCAAGAAUGCCUCACACCUGGGGCCAGGGAUUUAGCUCAGUGGCACCAUGCCUGCCUUGCAAGCGCAAGGUCCUGAUUCAAUCCCUGGUACUGGAAAAAAAAAAAUUCCACACACCUGUGCCUCACUGCCCUGCCAAUGGCACACAUCUCCUCCCCUCCCCAGCCCAGUGUAUGCUCACUCCCUGCCUGGUACCUAGCUACCCUGUCUGCCUCUGCACAGGGCAGAGGCAUCUGCACCAGCUUUAGGUCUGAAUGGCAUGUAAGGGAUAAGAGACCUGACUAGGCUGGGCGUGGUGGCACACACCUGUAAUCCCAGCACUCAGGAGGCUGAGGCAGGAGACUGCCAGGAGUUCAAGGCCAGCCCAGACUACCUAGUGAGACCCUGUCUCAAAAAAAAGGACCCGACUCCAUUGCUGGUGGGAGUGCAGACUGGUGCAACCACUGUGGAAGUCAGUAUGGAAAUACCUCAAAGAACUAGGACUGGAGGUCCCAUUUGACUCAGCUAUUCCCCUGCUGGGUACCUUCCCCAAAGAAUUAAA
Molecule: long non-coding RNA, 5014 nt
Filed under: Heterocephalus glaber (naked mole-rat)
Lineage: Eukaryota; Metazoa; Chordata; Mammalia; Rodentia; Bathyergidae
Description: lncRNA (ENSHGLG00000037943.1)
Source: RNAcentral